Paramuricea clavata is the source of this 482-nucleotide non-coding RNA. NCBI's taxonomy places the organism in Eukaryota, Metazoa, Cnidaria, Anthozoa, Malacalcyonacea, Plexauridae. The record is from the annotation of a GenBank genome assembly.
CUUAAAAUUAACGUCCUUGAAAUUUAAUUUAUAGAGAUAAAUCCAGAACUGAAGUCUGGCGUACACGAUGCGAUUUUAGUCGGUCGAUAAAAAUCGUUUGACAUACCGAUAUACAUCGGUAUACUCCGCACACGAUUACGAAAAAAAUACGCUCCCUGAACUGUAGUCGCCAUGUUGCCAAAUAAAUACAAGCAUGUGAUCACAGCAUGAAAUCAGAUUGGUUAUACUUAAAAUUCCACGGAUAAAAAUCGUAUAAUAUCAAGGGUGCGUUCCUUUAGUGCAAUCCGGAUUUGGAUUUUCAAAUCCGAUUAUCGAUUUUCAGUUUCAUUUAACAAAAUCUUAAAAUAGAUUCGAAUCUGAUGAAUCCACCUCAACAUAUGGAUUUUUCGUAUUCAAUCUGAAUCUUGAUUAGGAUUCAACGUUCCUUUUGAGCUUCUGGCCUCCUAGCAUGUACCUAGCUUGACCCGACCACAAUCUAUAGU